Molecule: unclassified non-coding RNA, 466 nt
Filed under: Daphnia pulicaria
Lineage: Eukaryota; Metazoa; Arthropoda; Branchiopoda; Diplostraca; Daphniidae
Description: delta-1-pyrroline-5-carboxylate dehydrogenase, mitochondrial-like, transcript variant X8
Source: RNAcentral
UUGCUUAACCUUCUAACUGUCAGUGUAGUGCAGUCAGUGCUCAGUAGUGUCAACAACAAGAGAAAAAAGUUGUUUUCAGAAGAAUUCUUAAACUGGACUGCUGAUUAAACUGGAAAACUAUUUCUAGCAACAUCUAGCAAAUUCUUUGAAUCAUGACAGCAGAAGAAACCCUUCGGAGGCCGAGUAUACCUGCCAAGUCGUCAAAGAAUCUGGACCAUUUGUCAAAUUUCAGCUAGAGUGGCACUUGCCAAAGCACAGUACAAAUCGCAUGCAUGAUAUACUCAACAAGCCAGGAGCUAUCAACACCCUUCACCUGACAAUCCCAAAGUUACAGGAGUCUGAUAGUGGAAAGUACCGUUGUGUUGCCAGAGGUCUAUUACUACCAUCAAAAUUUUUAAAAUGAUUUCAUCUGUUUCCAAAAAUACUCUUCAUCUUUCAUCAGCACAGAGACUUUGUGUUGGGAAAU